RNAcentral lists this long non-coding RNA (744 nucleotides) under Olea europaea subsp. europaea. Lineage: Eukaryota; Viridiplantae; Streptophyta; Magnoliopsida; Lamiales; Oleaceae. The record is from RNAcentral.
CUCAAAACCCAAUUCUCUCUCUCUCUCUCUCUCUCUCUCUCUCUCUCGUCUUGCUCUCUAGCAUCUUAUCGGUGAAAGUCGAUGGAGGAUCAACGAUAGAGGAGCUACUUUGUUCUAGCUUCACCAAUCGAUAGUUGUGGUCUGCUAUGUUGCACGUCGCCAAUCGACACUGCUGCGAACUUCUCCAUUGCAGCGUCGACAAAAUCGGUGGCGAGGGCUUUUAGUGUCGGAUUUGGCAGCGAUCUGGCCGUGAACGACGGGAUCUGGCACUGACCUGCAGCAGCAGCGAUCUGGCUGAGAUCUGCAGCAACGGCUAUAACGGGAGGUCGUAGUGGCGGCGAGGAAGGUUUUCUGUUUUGUGUGAUGGUCGGCGACGGAGAAAAAACAUGUGUGUGUUGCGACGGUGGGUACUGUGUGGUCAGUGGUUGUUUUGUGAUUGAGCCGAGGUGAUGGCAGUGGUGGUUGGUAUGGCCGGUGGUGGUAAGUCCGGUGUCAGAUUUGGGAUUUUUCUGGUGUGGUCGUGUGGCCGUGGGUGCGGUGCAGUGGUAGUGAUGGUUUUUGUUGUGGUUGUGGUGGUCAUGACGGUUUACUAGAUUUUGUGACAAGUAAUUGGACCUCGUGACCCUGAAAAUUUUGACUGUGAGUUGGUCGUGACGGUGGUUGUGGCGAUCAUGGUGGCAAUUGUGGCAAUUUGAUCGAUUUAUGACUAAUAAUUGGAUAUGUAACCUGAAAAUUGUGAUUAUG